AACGUAGGAGGCGAGCGUUAUCCGGAUUUACUGGGUGUAAAGCGCGUGCAGGCGGACUGGAAAGUUGGAUGUAAAAGCUCCUGGCUCAACUAGGAGAGGUCGUUCAAAACUACCGGUCUAGAGUACAGUAGAGGGAAGUGGAAUUCCGGGUGUAGUGGUGAAAUGCGUAGAUAUCCGGAGGAACACCAGUGGCGAAAGCGGCUUUCUGGACUGAAACUGACGCUCAGACGCGAAAGCUAGGGUAGCAAACGGG
This 253-nucleotide ribosomal RNA is filed under the name uncultured bacterium. RNAcentral's name for it is "partial 16S ribosomal RNA". It matches the Rfam family "Bacterial small subunit ribosomal RNA", at positions 524 to 776 of the family's 1533-position model. The record is from RNAcentral.